GACGAACGCUGGCGGCGUGCUUAACACAUGCAAGUCGAGCGGAAAGGCCCUGCUUUUGUGGGGUGCUCGAGUGGCGAACGGGUGAGUAACACGUGAGUAACCUGCCCUUGACUUUGGGAUAACUUCAGGAAACUGGGGCUAAUACCGGAUAGGAGCUCCUGCUGCAUGGUGGGGGUUGGAAAGUUUCGGCGGUUGGGGAUGGACUCGCGGCUUAUCAGCUUGUUGGUGGGGUAGUGGCUUACCAAGGCUUUGACGGGUAGCCGGCCUGAGAGGGUGACCGGCCACAUUGGGACUGAGAGACGGACCAGACUCCUACGUGAGGCAGCAGUGGGGAAUAUUGCACAAUGGGCGGAAGCCUGAUGCAGCAACGCCGCGUGCGUGAUGACGGCCUUCGGGUUGUAAACCGCUUUCGCCUGUGACGAAGCGUGAGUGACGGUAAUGGGUAAAGAAGCACCGGCUAACUACGUG
RNAcentral lists this ribosomal RNA (468 nucleotides) under uncultured bacterium. RNAcentral describes it as "partial 16S ribosomal RNA". It matches the Rfam family "Bacterial small subunit ribosomal RNA", at positions 28 to 507 of the family's 1533-position model. The record is from RNAcentral.